This 463-nucleotide ribosomal RNA is filed under the name Phoetaliotes nebrascensis (large-headed grasshopper). RNAcentral describes it as "partial 16S ribosomal RNA subunit RNA". It matches the Rfam family "Archaeal large subunit ribosomal RNA", at positions 1938 to 2638 of the family's 2987-position model. Lineage: Eukaryota; Metazoa; Arthropoda; Insecta; Orthoptera; Acrididae. The record is from RNAcentral.
UUUGAGGUCUGGCCUGCUCACUGAUAGGUUUUAAAGAGCCGCGGUAUUUUGACCGUGCAAAGGUAGCAUAAUCAUUAGUCUCUUAAUUAGGGGCUGGAAUGAAUGGCUUGACGAGAAAUUAACUGUCUCUUAUUAAAUUAUAGAAUUUAACUUUUGAGUUAAAAGGCUUAAAUUUUUCUUAAAGACGAGAAGACCCUAUAGAGCUUUACAUUUUAUUUAAAUAUAAUUUUUAGAUGGUUUUUUUAUAUUUUAAGAUAAUGUUUUGUUGGGGUGACAUGAAGAAUAAAUAAACUCUUCAUUAUAAAAUCAUUGAUUUAUGUUUAUUUUGAUCCAUAAUUUAUGAUCAUAAGAUUAAGUUACCUUAGGGAUAACAGCGUAAUUGUUUUUGAGAGCUCAUAUUAACAAAGCAGAUUGCGACCUCGAUGUUGGAUUAAGGAUAAUUUUGGGUGCAGGAGCCCAGUAA